RNAcentral lists this ribosomal RNA (930 nucleotides) under Klebsiella planticola. RNAcentral describes it as "partial 23S ribosomal RNA". It matches the Rfam family "Bacterial large subunit ribosomal RNA", at positions 592 to 1527 of the family's 2925-position model. The record is from RNAcentral. Lineage: Bacteria; Pseudomonadati; Pseudomonadota; Gammaproteobacteria; Enterobacterales; Enterobacteriaceae.
GGUGACUGCGUACCUUUUGUAUAAUGGGUCAGCGACUUAUAUUCUGUAGCAAGGUUAACCGUAUAGGGGAGCCGCAGGGAAACCGAGUCUUAACUGGGCGUUAAGUUGCAGGGUAUAGACCCGAAACCCGGUGAUCUAGCCAUGGGCAGGUUGAAGGUUGGGUAACACUAACUGGAGGACCGAACCGACUAAUGUUGAAAAAUUAGCGGAUGACUUGUGGCUGGGGGUGAAAGGCCAAUCAAACCGGGAGAUAGCUGGUUCUCCCCGAAAGCUAUUUAGGUAGCGCCUCGUGAACUCAUCUUCGGGGGUAGAGCACUGUUUCGGCUAGGGGGUCAUCCCGACUUACCAACCCGAUGCAAACUACGAAUACCGAAGAAUGUUAUCACGGGAGACACACGGCGGGUGCUAACGUCCGUCGUGAAGAGGGAAACAACCCAGACCGCCAGCUAAGGUCCCAAAGUCAUGGUUAAGUGGGAAACGAUGUGGGAAGGCACAGACAGCCAGGAUGUUGGCUUAGAAGCAGCCAUCAUUUAAAGAAAGCGUAAUAGCUCACUGGUCGAGUCGGCCUGCGCGGAAGAUGUAACGGGGCUAAACCAUGCACCGAAGCUGCGGCAGCGACACUAUGUGUUGUUGGGUAGGGGAGCGUUCUGUAAGCCGUUGAAGGUGGCCUGUGAGGGUUGCUGGAGGUAUCAGAAGUGCGAAUGCUGACAUAAGUAACGAUAAAGCGGGUGAAAAGCCCGCUCGCCGGAAGACCAAGGGUUCCUGUCCAACGUUAAUCGGGGCAGGGUGAGUCGACCCCUAAGGCGAGGCCGAAAGGCGUAGUCGAUGGGAAACAGGUUAAUAUUCCUGUACUCGGUGUUACUGCGAAGGGGGGACGGAGAAGGCUAUGUUAGCCGGGCGACGGUUGUCCCGGUUUAAGCAUGUAGGCGG